GUGAACGGGUGGCGGCGAGAGGAGACGGGGUUGGGGUUGGGGCGGCGGCGGAGUUAGGGUGGCGGCGGCCGGAGGAGGAGGAGAUCGUGGAGGCGAGGUCGGGGAGUGGAAGAGUCGGACCUAGGCGUGCUGUUCCACACCCCGAUACCCUCUCUUCCGAGGUAUAGCGCGCUGUUCCACUCCCCCACGGGUCUAGGCGUCGCCGUGGUGGCACGGGAGCAGGUGGACCGGGAGCUCCAGCCGGUACCUCCAGGCCGGGCUGGUUACCUACCUACCCCUACUUUGGGAUCGGGUUGUGGGUGGGUACCUACCUACCCCUACCCCGCUGCUGCCGCCACCGCCGCCGCCGGAAGAGAGCCACGAACGACUACACCACCUGUAGCUGUAGCCACUGCCCAACGUCGUGCAUCUGUAGUUUCCGACGCCCACACUGCCUCCUCGUGGUACCGCCCGCACGUCUGGUACCGAGUGAUACCUUCCGGGAAGGGAAGGGAGAGAGACAAGCCCGGUACGAGUCCGUCAGAAAAGAGAAGAGAAGGGCGUUUUUUUCAGAAAAGAGAAGUACUAAACUUGUACAACCUCCGGUAAUAAAGAGGUGACGGCCUCAGAUCGGAGGGAGGCACCCUACGGUACCUCUACUUUGAGGGGAGCUGCUUUCUUAAGUUCCCGUACACCCUCUCUCUCCUCCAGGUACCUCUUCUUCGAGACGAGGUUGGGAGGGACGGAGGAUUAUGUUCUACAGAAAAAAACACACACGAACAUAACGUCGUCGGUACACGCAUAGUUUUUUUCCCAGGUCAAACGUCGUCAGUGUACUAUACCUGUACAAAAAAGUAGUGUUAACCUAAAAACCUAAAUGAUCCGAUUAACCACCACCAACGACAACAACAACAAAAUCGUCGUCGUCGUCGUCCGCCUCACUGCUACAACCGAUACACGUCCGGUACCUCCGAAACUACUCGUGCUCCCCUUCCGGCGACGAAGUUGGGGCAAUUCGAAUGCACACCCUAAACGAAGCCUUCAACAGGUGCACUCAGUUACCCACGACGAAGUACACCCGUAGGAAAGACACCACAUACAACCUCUCCAAUGUGUGGACUACUACAAAUGCCGAUCCGUGUUCUUGUUCGUCUCGGCUCCUUCACGCCCGUGCGCGACGACCGGAACCGUCCACAUCCUUGGCACGCUCCUUCCAAGUCGCGCGACGUGUUCAGCCCGGUGCGGGCCUCGCGGCACGGUUGCGUACACACGCACCAGCCACCCAAUCGGUUCUAGACGUAAGACGCUGAAGUAGAAGUGGUACCUGUGUUCGUUCCUGACUAACCACCAAGAACCAUCGCCACGGCUCGUAGCCGCCUAGCUUCACCAGCUCCAGCGCCAAUUAGGUGGUCCUGCUCUGUACGUAGAACCUCGAUCGCGUCUCCCCCCUUCUUCGUCCAACCAUACCGGGCCUUGAAAACGCGUUUCUUUUGUGUGUGUCCCGUCCUUGUACUGAUGAGAAGGGGAAGGUUCAAAAACUAGCUAGCUUGAGAAGCCACUGGUCUUUUACUCUUUUUCCGUCCGGCAGCUACAUGUCUGGUGUCCACGAGCCUGCGUGCCGGCCGUAGUACCAGCAGUAUUGAGUAUUGGGUACUCCACCACUGGUUCGUUCUUUCCUUCCUUGAAAGCGCGUUUCUUUUGUGUGUAUCCCGUCCUUGUACUGAUGAGAGCGGGAAGGUACAAAGACUAGCUAGCUUGAGAAGCCACUGGUUUUUUACUCUUUUCCCGUCCAGCAGCUACAUGUCUGGUGUCCACGAGCCUGCGUGCCGGCCGUAGUACCACCAGUAUCGAGUAUUGGGUACUCCCCCACUGCUUCGUUCUUUCCUUCUAAGUACUUCGAGGUUCGCUCGUUCUUCAAAGUCAGGUGGAAAUGAGUACCGGAGGGGAAGAGCAGACCACCUGCCGGAACCGUUAGACUUGUUCGAAAUGCGCUGACCGUGAGAACAACUAGGGUAUACUCAGUAAUUCGGUAAAACACGCGUUCCAACUCUAUCAACCCCGGACAUUGACACAAAACUAGGGUACUUACAGUAAAACGUGGCUUCCAAACAUUGGUAACCCCUUACAAAAGAACGAGACUACAUAGUUCAACGGUACCCCCACUAGAUCUCCAGAGAAGGAACAGGUUUCAUACAGCAUGGAUUAGUUCUGUACAAGUAAAUUAAAUGGGCAGUACAUUUACUGUGUUGUACUAAGUGAACACAUAUCACAUUUUUAUAUAAAUAAAUACCGUGUGUCCACAAGUUUAAUAUCAACACUUUGCACAUAUCACAUUUUUAUAUUAAUAAUUCCCUACACUGCAGUGUCACCAGCACGGAGCAGAAGAGGCUCAGAGACGAACACCAAACACAAGAAAUCUAGACAAGUACGGGACUAUAACGAUAGACUAAAGUAGAAGAGACCUG
This 2444-nucleotide ribosomal RNA is filed under the name Triticum aestivum (bread wheat). RNAcentral's name for it is "partial small subunit ribosomal RNA". The record is from RNAcentral. Lineage: Eukaryota; Viridiplantae; Streptophyta; Magnoliopsida; Poales; Poaceae.